This 253-nucleotide ribosomal RNA is filed under the name uncultured Deinococcus sp. RNAcentral's name for it is "partial 16S ribosomal RNA". It matches the Rfam family "Bacterial small subunit ribosomal RNA", at positions 524 to 776 of the family's 1533-position model. Lineage: Bacteria; Thermotogati; Deinococcota; Deinococci; Deinococcales; Deinococcaceae. The record is from RNAcentral.
UACGGAGGGUGCAAGCGUUACCCGGAAUCACUGGGCGUAAAGGGCGUGUAGGCGGCCCCAUAAGUCCGGCUUUGAAGACCGAGGCUCAACCUCGGGAAUGGGCUGGGUACUGUGGGGCUGGACCUCUGGAGAGAGAACCGGAAUUCCUGGUGGAGCGGUGGAAUGCGUAGAUCCCAGGAGGAACACCGACGGCGAAGGCAGGUUCUUGGACAGAAGGUGACGCUGAGGCGCGAAAGUGUGGGGAGCAAACCGG